RNAcentral lists this ribosomal RNA (490 nucleotides) under uncultured bacterium. RNAcentral's name for it is "partial 16S ribosomal RNA". It matches the Rfam family "Bacterial small subunit ribosomal RNA", at positions 29 to 507 of the family's 1533-position model. The record is from RNAcentral.
AGUGAACGCUGGCGGCAGGCCUAACACAUGCAAGUCGAACGGCAGCACAAGAGAGCUUGCUCUCUGGGUGGCGAGUGGCGGACGGGUGAGGAAUGCAUCGGAAUCUGCCCAUUUGUGGGGGAUAACCUCGGGAAACCGGGACUAAUACCGCAUACGACCUACGGGUGAAAGCAGGGGAUCUUCGGACCUUGCGCAGAUGGAUGAGCCGAUGCCGGAUUAGCUAGUUGGAGGGGUAAAGGCCCACCAAGGCGACGAUCCGUAGCUGGUCUGAGAGGAUGAUCAGCCACACUGGGACUGAGACACGGCCCAGACUCCUACGGGAGGCAGCAGUGGGGAAUAUUGGACAAGGGGCGCAAGCCUGAUCCAGCCAUGCCGCGUGUGUGAAGAAGGCCUUCGGGUUGUAAAGCACUUUUGUUGGGAAAGAAAAGCAGCCGGUUAAUACCCGGUUGUCAUGACGGUACCCAAAGAAUAAGCACCGGCUAACUUCGUG